RNAcentral lists this long non-coding RNA (3328 nucleotides) under Salmo salar (Atlantic salmon). RNAcentral's name for it is "lncRNA (ENSSSAG00000098166.1)". Lineage: Eukaryota; Metazoa; Chordata; Actinopteri; Salmoniformes; Salmonidae. The record is from RNAcentral.
GUUUAUUCAACAGUUCUAUCCAUUAUGGUAGUUUCUUUUUAGUUGAUGCUUUGAGGCUCGUACACAAAUUGACCACCACGGUUUCUGUCUUCCUCUCUUUCGAUAUCCCGCUAGUUGUUUUUUCCUAGAAAGGCUGUUGCUCUGUCGGUGCGACCUGUGUGUUUGUCUCUGUGUGUCUUGGGGCCCCAGCUUUCCAUGUUGAUAGUCCUGCACCACCUGCCCAGACUCGCUUAGAUUACCAGGGCUCAGACCUGUGUGUGUGUGUGUGUGUGUGUGUGUGUGUGUGCGUGUGCGUGUGCGUGCGUGUGCGUGUGUGUGCGGUCACCAACGGCUAUGGGGCAGAGCAGAGAUGUUUCAGAGGCCAUAUGUCUCUUGUCUAGUUAAAAACACAUGGCUAACUUGCUCUUGUACCAGAGAAGAAUUCGAUCUCGGUAACAAAUGAAUCGUAUUCUGCUAGUAUCUACAGCAGCCUAGCUUGUCUCUUCUCUACUCUGUGGGUUGAGCUGCUGGUCCAGAGGAGUAAAACAUAAGAGAGAGAAGGAGAGCUUCUCCUCUAUUCUUCCUCUGAGUCGGUGUCGUUUACAUCCCCAGUUACUGUGACCAUCACAGCUGUGCCUCGUCUUAAACACUGCUUUCAACUGGUGUCUCUCUUCAUCGCUAUGCUGUUGAAACCAGGCAGUUCCAUAGACCGAGAGAUAUUCAGAAUCUCUGUUCCCAAGGAGACCUGUCCCGAGAAGGCGGCUGAUUGGUUGAUCUGAGCAUGUUGGAGUGACCGCAUUCCAUCACUCAUUCUGGUUGGCUUGGCGUGAACAUAAUUGUACAACCAUUUCAAAGAGCACUGUCUUGUUUUGUUAUCUUGAACUGUGUUAACACUGACAGCUUUUGAAAUGUGUUUUGCUAAUUUCUCUCGCACUUUGGAUGAGCCGUUGUUUCAUCACCCUGUCCUGUGCUGACGUUAAUGCAAUCAUGACUAAUUCUGACAGGCACUCGGCAUGGCUUGGUGUUAAAGUGAAAUGCGUUUUGGCUUCAUGGUCAUGUUCCCACAGCGCUGAGAUACUGAAACAGUCAGGCCUGUUGUUUUAGAGAAACAACCGCAACAUCAGAGAUAAGGGAGGAAUUAAAUUGGCUGAAAUUGUUCAUUAAAUACGUCGCUGUGGUUCCUUGAAUUGUGUGUGCGUGUGCGCAUAAUAAUGAAUGUGUGUGAGGGUUUGUAUUGAAGCUCAUUUUCUGUGGGUACAGUAACAGUCUGUAAAAGUUCUUGGAGGGCCUUUCGAGCAGCACUUUUCCUCAGUGUGUGUCUCACCUGACAAACAUACAGACACAACACAUACACAUUCGCUGUACUCUCCAUAUCCCCCUUUUGUAAAUAAGAUUCAUUAUCAUUCUAAAUGUCACCCGUUUGCUUCAAACUAUGCAACAGUAUUCUACAAUUAUAAUACUGUUGUUUUUAGUUAUUUUCACAAUUCUUCUCUUAAAGGCCCAGUGCAGUCAAACGUGAUUUUUCUUGUGUUUUAUAUAUAUUUCCACACUAUGAGGUUGAAAUAAUAGGGGAGAGUGGGUUAAGUUGAGCCUAUGGGGUAAGUUGAGCAACCCUUGUGUUAAGGAAAUCAUAAACAAAAUGUAUAAUUUGACUAAAUAUUUAAGAAGGUAAUUUCGUGGAGUCUGUGAAGGAAGAAACCAUAUUAAAAAAGUGGUAAGCAAGUUAGAUCAAAAAAACAAACAGAUUUUAUCCAAAUCAAAUGAAUUCAUUGUGUCAGAGCAGCGUUUCCCAAACUAGGAGUCUUUUUGAAAAUGGGGUCGCGAGAGAAACUCUGAAAAUAACCAAAACAUUAGGUCCGUAACCUCCGGUAGCCGCUAGAAGUGGUUGUAAAAAACAGAGCCAUUUCUGUUUUCUUCCUAGUGUGUGUCUCUUUCUAACGGUUUAAGUAUUUUGUUUCCCUCUACAAUGACUCGAUAGAACAGAGUGGACAAGACCAGGCAAUAAAUCAGGCUGUUGGAAAAAAGAAAAUCAUCAACAAUACAUUAUUUUCUACACAGAAGAUCAUACAAAAGUAUUGCCUGAUGAUCUUCUGAACUUCCCAAUACCUUUCUGAUGCAUUUUAGUCACUUCAACCCAUACUUCCAUCAGAAUUAAAUACUUUCAAAAAUACUUUCAGACUGAUUUGUAAUAGACUGUCAUAGCCCAAUUAGAAAGUUAACAUUGUCAAUUGAUUACAUUAUUGUCUUUAUAUGGCGGGGUCGCGAUUCAUUUUAAAUAUUUAAAAUGGGGUCGCGGGACAAAACACUUUGGGAACCCCUGUGUUAGAGGUUUCAUGAUGCUUGCAUCUAAACCAAAGUAGAUCAUUUUAAGAUGUUCUAUAAAUCAGUUGGGGUCUCUAAAAGCUUCAAUAUGAGGUCCUAAACCUAGCAUGAAGUGCAUCCUUGUAACUGUGUGGGCUAAUAUCGUCAAUAUGCUUAACUUAUCCCAUACCCAGGAUAAAUUGUGCCAAGAGACCACUUUUUUUGGGACAAACUAUGUUUUCAAAACUGUAAUGUUUACAUUACAUUAAUUCAGACUAUUUCCAGGGAUACACAACAUCCUGAAAUACAUGUAGAUAUCUUUGUUAGAAAUAAUACUAUUUCGUUGACAGAGUGAUGCUGAAUAUAAGAAAUGGCUCAAUUUACCCGUCUCCCCUACUGUGAAAUUGUGAAAAUGAUGAUAAUGACUGUUUAGUGUAAGAGCUGUUGAAAAGACCACCUGAAAUCUUAGGAUGUUUUGGUGGGAUGGAGUUUAGGCCUGCCUGGUAAUAUCACCAGUAAAUGAGUUAAUAGACAAAUGACAGCUAGUUUUCAGUUUUCCCCUCCUCACUCAAACCAAUCCCAUACAUUCCUAGCAAAAUUGCUCUUUGCUAAGAAGCUAUUUGUACUUAUUUUUGACCAUUUCAAUUGAAAACAAUCAUCGUAAGGUUACUGUUACCCUGAAAUGAUUUGAUAUUGAGAUAAAAACAGCUGCAUUGGACCUUUUUAAUGCUCUCCUCCUCUCUCUCUCCCUCUCGCUCCUCUUUCUUUUUGUCUGUGUGCUUGUUUAUGUCUCAGUGGAUGCAGUUGUUUCCCAUAUUUCAAUUCUUUAUACUAAAAGAAAAGCAGGUGUAUUAUGUGUGUGCACGAUGUGCACCCACCCUGAAUUUUUCUUUACUCUUUUGUAAUAUAUGAUCAUGUGGAAUGCCUUGGUCUUUAUGUCCUGUUGUUUUGAAUUUAACAGAACAAAAAAAUGAUAAUCAAGCAAUUGAGGUGAAAGUUAUUAUAAAUAUAUAUAUAUAUAAACAAAUCUAUAUACAUAAAAUAAAGC